RNAcentral lists this transfer RNA (73 nucleotides) under Agrilus planipennis (emerald ash borer). It matches the Rfam family "tRNA". From Rfam's summary of the family: Transfer RNA (tRNA) molecules are approximately 80 nucleotides in length. Lineage: Eukaryota; Metazoa; Arthropoda; Insecta; Coleoptera; Buprestidae. The record is from Rfam by way of RNAcentral.
UCUCUCGUAGCUUAGUGGUCAGAGUAUUGGUGCGUAAAGUCAAAGGUCCCGGGAUUGAUUCCCAGCGCGGGUG